GAUAAGCUAAAGGAUUUUAAUGUAUCAGAGUGCAAAAAGUUUAUUGAUCGGCUUUCGGGUUCCACACUGCAAUUAAUCUUUGAGAAAUUACCUCGUGUUGAGCUUCGCUAUAGUAUCAAAGAAUAUCCAGUUGUCUGAAACGGCUACUGCUCUGUUUUCCAACAACAUGUCUGUGUGAGGCCAGAUUUUCUUCGUACACUUCAACCAAAACAACAUAUCACAACAGAUGGAAUGCAGGAGCCGAUCUUCUACAAAGCCCGAUAGUUAAAAGAUUUGCAAACAGAUCUGGGGAUGAAGAGAAAGAUUGCAGCAGCACCUUGAAAACUGAAUUCUGCCAAAAUAAGCCUAAAAAAAAUGCUUGGUAAAGAGCUGCAAUAUGUGUGAUACGAUAUUAAAGUGGAAGCUUAGGGACAUAGAGACCAACUGCAAAGCAGGAUGGGACUCUGAAAUGUGCAGGCCCUGAAAACGGAGACGGGGACGUGGUGCUGCUGCUCGG
This 496-nucleotide long non-coding RNA is filed under the name Equus asinus (donkey). RNAcentral describes it as "lncRNA (ENSEASG00005037359.1)". Lineage: Eukaryota; Metazoa; Chordata; Mammalia; Perissodactyla; Equidae. The record is from RNAcentral.